AGGACGAACGCUGGCGGCGUGCUUAACACAUGCAAGUCGAGCGGAAAGGCCCUUCGGGGUACUCGAGCGGCGAACGGGUGAGUAACACGUGAGCAACCUGCCCUUGGCUCUGGGAUAGCCUCCGGAAACGGGGAUUAAUACCGGACAUUCACUUUCUCCUGCAUGGGGGUUGGUGGAAAGUUUUUCGGCCAGGGAGGGCUCGCGGCCUAUCAGCUUGUUGGCGGGGUAACGGCCCACCAAGGCGACGACGGGUAGCCGGCCUGAGAGGGCGAUCGGCCACACUGGGACUGAGACACGGCCCAGACUCCUACGGGAGGCAGCAGUGGGAAUAUUGCACAAUGGGCGCAAGCCUGAUGCAGCGACGCCGCGUGGGGAUGAAGGCCUUCGGGUUGUAACCCCGUUUCACCAGGAGCGAAUUCAGACGGUACCUGGGAAGAAGCGCCGGCUAACUACGUGCCAGCAGCCGC
Molecule: ribosomal RNA, 467 nt
Filed under: uncultured bacterium
Lineage: Bacteria
Description: SSU rRNA
Rfam family: Bacterial small subunit ribosomal RNA
Source: RNAcentral